UGGCUCAGGAUGAACGCUGGCGGCGUGCCUAAUACAUGCAAGUCGAACGGGAGCCCCGAUUUACGGAUUGGGGUGAGAGUGGCGCACGGGUGAGUAACACGUAGCUGACCUACCCUUCGCAGGGGGAUAACUGGCCGAAAGGCGAGCUAAUACCGCGUAUACUGGAUGGGGUUAGAGGCCCAUUGAGGAAAGCGUUGGAAGCGGCGAAGGCAGGGGCUGCGGCCCAUCAGCUAGUUGGUGUGGUAAGAGCGCACCAAGGCGAGGACGGGUAGGGGGCCUGAGAGGGUGACCCCCCACACUGGGACUGAGACACGGCCCAGACUCCUACGGGAGGCAGCAGUAAGGGAUAUUGCCCAAUGGGCGCCGGCCUGAGGCAGCAACGCCGCGUGGAGGAGGACGGUUUUCGGAUUGUAAACUCCUUUUCUGGGGGAAGAGGCAGGACGGUACCCCAGGAAUAAGUCUCGGCUAACUACGUGCCAGCAGCCGCGGUAAAACGUAGGAGGCGAGCGUUAUCCGGAUUUACUGGGCGUAAAGCGCGUGCAGGCGGUGGCUUAAGUCAUGCGUGAAAGCUCCCGGCUCAACUGGGAGAGGACGUAUGAGACUGGGUCACUGGAGACAGGUAGAGGCCUACGGAAUUCCGGGUGGAGUGGUGAAAUGCGUAGAGAUCCGGAGGAACAUCAGUGGCGAAGGCGGUAGGCUGGGCCUGAUCUGACGCUCAGACGCGAAAGCAUGGGGAGCGAACGGGAUUAGAAACCCCGGUAGUCCAUG
Molecule: ribosomal RNA, 768 nt
Filed under: uncultured organism
Description: bacterial SSU rRNA
Rfam family: Bacterial small subunit ribosomal RNA
Source: RNAcentral